GUACAAAUCAUCAUCGCCCCUUAUGUUCUGGGCUACACACGUGCUACAAUGGCCGGUACAGACGGACGCAAAGCCGCGAGGUGGAGCAAAUCCUAAAAAGCCGGUCUCAGUUCGGAUUGCAGGCUGCAAUUCGCCUGCAUGAAGUCGGAAUCGCUAGUAAUCGCAGGUCAGCAUACUGCGGUGAAUACGUUCCCGGGCCUU
This 201-nucleotide ribosomal RNA is filed under the name uncultured Bacillus sp. RNAcentral describes it as "partial 16S ribosomal RNA". It matches the Rfam family "Bacterial small subunit ribosomal RNA", at positions 1183 to 1382 of the family's 1533-position model. Lineage: Bacteria; Bacillati; Bacillota; Bacilli; Caryophanales; Bacillaceae. The record is from RNAcentral.